UACGUAGGGGGCAAGCGUUGUCCGGAUUUAUUGGGCGUAAAGAGCGUGUAGGCGGCCAGACAGGUCCGUUGUGAAAACUCGAGGCUCAACCUCGAGAUGUCGAUGGAAACCGUCUGGCUAGAGUCCGGAAGAGGAGUGUGGAAUUCCUGGUGUAGCGGUGGAAUGCGCAGAUAUCAGGAGGAACACCCAUAGCGAAGGCAGCUCGCUGGGACGGUACUGACGCUAAGGCGCGAAAGCGUGGGGAGCGAACAGG
Molecule: ribosomal RNA, 253 nt
Filed under: uncultured bacterium
Lineage: Bacteria
Description: partial 16S ribosomal RNA
Rfam family: Bacterial small subunit ribosomal RNA
Source: RNAcentral